Molecule: ribosomal RNA, 460 nt
Filed under: uncultured bacterium
Lineage: Bacteria
Description: partial 16S ribosomal RNA
Rfam family: Bacterial small subunit ribosomal RNA
Source: RNAcentral
CCUACGGGUGGCAGCAGUGAGGAAUAUUGGUCAAUGGGCGGAAGCCUGAACCAGCCAAGUAGCGUGCAGGAUGACGGCCCUAUGGGUUGUAAACUUCUUUUAUAUGGGAAUAAAAUGUUCCACGUGUGGGAUUUUGUAUGUACUAUAUGAAUAAGGAUCGGCUAACUCCGUGCCAGCAGCCGCGGUAAUACGGAGGAUCCGAGCGUUAUCCGGAUUGUUUGGGUUUAAAGGGAGCGUAGGUGGAUUGUUAAGUCAGUUGUGAAAGUUUGCGGCUCAACCGUAAAAUUGCAGUUGAAACUGGCAGUCUUGAGUACAGUAGAGGUGGGCGGAAUGCGUGGUGUAGCGGUGAAAUGCUUAGAUAUCACGAAGAACUCCGAUUGCGAAGGCAGCUUACUGGACUGCAACUGACACUGAGGCUCGAAAGUGUGGGUAUCAAACAGGAUUAGAUACCCGGGUAGUC